RNAcentral lists this transfer RNA (27 nucleotides) under Sapindus sp. B CHR-2022. RNAcentral describes it as "partial tRNA-His". Lineage: Eukaryota; Viridiplantae; Streptophyta; Magnoliopsida; Sapindales; Sapindaceae. The record is from RNAcentral.
GGCGGAUGUACCCAAGUGGAUCAGGGC